Molecule: long non-coding RNA, 1783 nt
Filed under: Nicotiana tabacum (common tobacco)
Lineage: Eukaryota; Viridiplantae; Streptophyta; Magnoliopsida; Solanales; Solanaceae
Description: long non-coding RNA (NTAB_LNC001803)
Source: RNAcentral
CGUAGAGGCUACAGAUCGAGGUUUGUUUGAUUUCAUAGGAAAAAAGGAAGAGGAAAAGCCAACUCAUGCCCAAGAAGAACAGGCUAUUUCCUCUGAGUUUGAUGAAAAAGUAAAAGUAUCUGAAGAAGUUGCAGAAUACAAGGAGGAAGAGAAGAAAGAAGAGAAGAAACUUCAUCGAUCAAGUAGCAGCUCUAGCAGCUCCGUAAGUAUUUUCGAUCAUGGGUAAAAUUUAUCGGUACUCAUUUAUUUACAUCAAAUCAAUAAAUAUAAAAUAAUUAUGUUUCAUAGAUGCAUGUUUUACUUAAUUGUACCUAUUCUUACUUUAUUUUAUGGUAAUUAUUAACAGAGUCACAUCCAGGAUUGAAAGUUUAUGAGUUCCUAUUAUAAUUUUAAAUUAAUAUACAAUAAUAACUGAAUUCACGCUUAUAUAUUUAUUGAUAUUUAAUGAAUUUUUUAAUAAAAAUACUGAAUCUAUGCAAAAAUUACUGGCUUCUCGGAUCCAGAAGCUAUACUCUACAUCCGCCUAGCCUUUGGACAUAGAUUGAGUUGAAACUUGAAAAAAUAUUUUUGAAGUAGUUUUGGAAAAUAAUUUUUGGAAGUUGAAAUUAGUUUGGACAUACAUUUUAUUUGAAAAACAUUUGAAGUUUUGUGAGUAGGAACUGAUUUUCAUCCAAAAUCUACCAUAAACUAGAUUUUGGAAACUUAAAAAAUAUUUUCAGAAAUUUUUCAAAAACAGAUCACUAAUUUGUGGACAAACAAUGUUUUAAAAAAAAAAUGAAAAAAACUUGCCAAAAUGUAUGGCCAAACGAGGGCUUAAAUUUUUUUACACGAUCAGGUCAUAUUUACCUUAUUGUAUCAAGUAACAUGUCUCGUUUUCAAAAUUUACUUCUAGAUAUUCUUCGAAUGACUUGACAGUAUGAAAAACUAAUUACAUCGAUGGUGUAUAUAUAUAUAUAUUUUGAUCAUGUUUACAUGAAUAGCCUCAUCAUAUAGAAAAGCAUCAGCGGCUGUUUUCACGACUCGAACUUUGUAACCUUGCUGUUUGUGUACAACAAAAACUCUUUUUAUAGUUGGAUGAAGCUUAUGUUAAUUGUGAUGAUCUUGCAGAGUGAUGAAGAGGAAGAAAUAGGAGAGGACGGACAGAAAAUCAAGAAGAAGAAAAAGAAGGGUUUGAAGGAUAAGAUCAAGGAGAAAAUAUCUGGAGAACACAAGGAAGAUGAGAAGGCAGAGGACACAGCUGUUCCAGUGGAGAAAUACGAAGAAGCAGAGGAGAAAAAAGGAUUCCUAGACAAGAUUAAGGAGAAGUUGCCAGUUGGCGGCCAAAAGAAGACGGAGGAAGUGGCGCCUCCACCACCGGCUGCGGCGGAACACGAGGCUGAGGGAAAAGAGAAGAAGGGAUUUUUGGACAAGAUUAAGGAGAAAUUACCACGAUACCACUCAAAGACUGAAGAAGAAAAGGAAAAAGAGAAAGAAACUGCAUCUCACUAGAUUAUUACAGCAUGAAAAUGAAUGUUUUUAUUUGUCGCUUUUUUGUUUUUUUGUUUUUGUGUAUGUCAUGAUUGUGUUACUGCUGUUUGGUUAAGCUUUCAUUUCCUUCACUUUUUUGGGGUUUGAAGGAUAAUAGUAUUGUAUUCAUAUAUGUAAGUGCAUAUAGCAUGUGCUUAUGUAUAAAGUUUGAUGUGGAUCUUUCGUUUGUAAAAUGCAGUUGGUUUUGCUUUUCACCUUAUCUUUUGUGUUUUCCUUAAUUACCUAUGUUAAAGCAUUAGGAUAAUUAAACAAGAUA